RNAcentral lists this ribosomal RNA (504 nucleotides) under uncultured bacterium. RNAcentral describes it as "partial 16S ribosomal RNA". It matches the Rfam family "Bacterial small subunit ribosomal RNA", at positions 28 to 506 of the family's 1533-position model. The record is from RNAcentral.
GACGAACGCUGGCGGCGUGCCUAAUACAUGCAAGUCGAACGCACAGUUUAUACCGUAGCUUGCUACACCAUAAACUGUGAGUUGCGAACGGGUGAGUAACGCGUAGGUAACCUGCCUGGUAGCGGGGGAUAACUAUUGGAAACGAUAGCUAAUACCGCAUAAUAUUGAUUAUUGCAUGAUAAUUGAUUGAAAGAUGCUAUUGCAUCACUACCAGAUGGACCUGCGUUGUAUUAGCUAGUAGGUGAGGUAACGGCUCACCUAGGCGACGAUACAUAGCCGACCUGAGAGGGUGAUCGGCCACACUGGGACUGAGACACGGCCCAGACUCCUACGGGAGGCAGCAGUAGGGAAUCUUCGGCAAUGGACGAAAGUCUGGCCGAGCAACGCCGCGUGAGUGAAGAAGGUUUUCGGAUCGUAAAGCUCUGUUGUAAGAGAAGAACGGGUGUGAGAGUGGAAAGUUCACACUGUGACGGUAUCUUACCAGAAAGGGACGGCUAACUACGU